Non-coding RNA from Cajanus cajan (pigeon pea), 421 nucleotides. Lineage: Eukaryota; Viridiplantae; Streptophyta; Magnoliopsida; Fabales; Fabaceae. The record is from RefSeq and is a predicted model, not a curated record.
ACUAUAAUAACUCCGAAGAGUAUCAAGAAUGUGUGGCACCGGUGACGUAAGAGCUGUGAAGGUGAGUGGUGCGUCCGAGUGACAACGGGAAAGAGCAUCUGCAACGACAUUUUCACGGCCUGGACGAUAUAGGAUAUCGAAGAUUCCGUAAUGGCAAACAUCUCCCGGACAUAAACCGAGGCAGCCUGCAUACGGGGGCAUAGCUUUUUGCUGAAGAAGGCUAUGGGGUGGCCGGACUGGGAAAGUACUGCACCAAUAGCUAUGGAGGAUGCAUCAGUUUCUAAGUCAAAAGGGGCAUCAAAGUUGGGUAGGGUUAGAACUGGGGAGUGGGCAAUGGCCUGUUGUAAUGCAAUAAAAGCUUUAUCUGUAUGUGUAUUCCAAGAGAAAGAAGAACGUAACAGAUCCGUGAGAGGCGCUGCAA